Long non-coding RNA from Diachasma alloeum, 817 nucleotides. RefSeq lists it as uncharacterized. The record is from RefSeq and is a predicted model, not a curated record. The transcript is spliced from 2 exons. Lineage: Eukaryota; Metazoa; Arthropoda; Insecta; Hymenoptera; Braconidae.
UCCUGCAUUAUGUAGUUUCAAUGAAUGUUUCAUUGUUGUAAAAUUGCAACAUUUCUUUGAAAUUUCCUUUCCGACUUGUAGUGAUUUCUGAUAUUUCCAUUAUUUGAGUCACUAAUCACCAGAUGUUACAUAAUAGUGAUAAUUUGUAAACACAUAAUGGCGUAUAGUAAGAUCUUGAUUGCAUUAAUCCUUAUACAUGACGCAGAGUUCAUUAUUCUCGCAUUAUAAUCGUUGAAAUAUAUCACUGGUGCUGUAUGUGAAUCAAAUAAUUUAUAAAUAUACUUCUCCUUUUCAUUUUUCCUAAGUACUUGCUAUUAUGCCGACAAAAGAUUAAUUUCAAAUUCUUUCUUGCACCUCUAUUAUCGCUACUUAUUGCUUUGUUAAUUUUCCAACUAUUUUCUUAUCAUCAGAAAUGUAGGUUUUUUCUAUUGUUUCGUAAUAGAGCGGAAAACAGUAGCAGGAAUCUAAUUCUGUCAAAGAAAAUAUUAUUAUUUCAAAUUGUGCGAAUGAUUCAUUAUGGCACGCACUGAGGAUGUUUCAUAUUGAUAUCGUGAUUUUCAAUUAUUGGAAAAUCAAUUGGACAUGGAAGUGGAGAAAGGAAAUCAGGAGCCUGGAGUUACUUAAAACGCAGCGAAGGCAUACAAAAUUAAAUAAUGAAGAUUUAUGAAAAAUGAAACUCCCACACUGGAUAUCACACGUAUUUUGAAGCAAUCAUGGGAAUCACAACAAUUUUUACCAAUAGAAAAAUACUUUUCCCUGUACGUUUCAUGUGUUAUUCAUUAUUUCAAUGUUUAUAAAUCAUUCUAAAUACUGAAAA